Non-coding RNA from Oryza sativa Japonica Group (Japanese rice), 608 nucleotides. The record is from RefSeq and is a predicted model, not a curated record. NCBI's taxonomy places the organism in Eukaryota, Viridiplantae, Streptophyta, Magnoliopsida, Poales, Poaceae.
AUGAUCGUAAGUGAGAUCGAGGGAGCUGAUUAAUCAACUAGCUAGCUUGCAAAAAUGGCGUCCAACAAGGCUUUCGUUGUGUUCACUCUCCUGAUGCUGGUGGCUGCAUCUGCCAUCGUCGACGUCGCCUCUGCCGAUCACGGCGAUCAUGACGGCAAGAAGUGCGGGCCUUGCAAGUGUAAAGGCUGCUGCCACUAUGACAAGUGCUACGAGUACUGCAGCGGCGACAGCGGUCCAUGCUGUAAAUGGGGCAAGUGCCAUUCGUGCUGCUCAUGAAGACGAUGAAUGGAUCGAUGGCAAAUUAAACGCACGUAAACCUUAUACAAAUAUAUAUCUGCUAUAUAUACAUGAAUGACGAUGUGCUUGUCCAGCUACUUCUCCCUAUAGUUGUUUGCUUUGGUCAAUAAAGGAUUGCAUCGAUCUCUGCUGUGUGUACAUGUGUACACACGGCUAGUGCUACUAUGUAUAUGCUCUUAUACAAGGGCUAUACGUACGCAACAAUCCGUGCCUUUGGUGUCGUCAGUCGUAGGGUCGUGUCAGGUAUUGUAGUAUUGUAAUUUGUGCUGAUCUAUAAUAAAAUGCGUUAUAAUAAUGCUUCUAUAGAUAUA